Bradysia coprophila is the source of this 196-nucleotide long non-coding RNA. Lineage: Eukaryota; Metazoa; Arthropoda; Insecta; Diptera; Sciaridae. The record is from RefSeq and is a predicted model, not a curated record.
UCGGUAAAGCGAUGGACUCACGCCCUAUAUGUCACGGGUUCGACUCCCGCUUCAGACAUAGUUCAUAGGGUUUUUCCUAAUCAUAAAUGAUUAGUCUCUGCUGUUAGUUAUCACUAGCCAGCUCUAUCGACCGUAAUAGGUCUCUAAGAAAACACCAAAAAAUGCUGAACACAGUUCUUAAUAAAAACUUCUCAUA